RNAcentral lists this small nuclear RNA (285 nucleotides) under Castor canadensis (American beaver). RNAcentral describes it as "7SK RNA (ENSCCNG00000001449.1)". It matches the Rfam family "7SK RNA". From Rfam's summary of the family: 7SK was discovered as an abundant small nuclear RNA in the mid-70s but a possible function has only recently been suggested. Two independent studies have found that 7SK RNA binds the CDK9/cyclin T complex (known as elongation factor P-TEFb). P-TEFb activates transcription by phosphorylating the C-terminal domain of RNA polymerase II. Lineage: Eukaryota; Metazoa; Chordata; Mammalia; Rodentia; Castoridae. The record is from Rfam by way of RNAcentral.
GGAUUGAGGCAAUCUGGCUGCGACAUUUGUCACCCCAUUGAUUGCCAGGGUUGAUUCUGCUGAUCUGGCUGGCUAGGCGGGUGUCCCUCACUGCUCCAUGUGUGUCCCUCCCAAAGCUGCACGCUUGGUCGACAAUCAUCCCUGAUAAAAGAGGACCGUUCUUUGGUCAAGGGUAUACAAGUAGCUAUGCUCCCCUGCUAGAACCUCCAAACAAGAUCUCAAGAAAUAAGAUCAUUCAAUGAACAAAGGAUAAUCUUUUCAACAAGCAUUAUAAAACCUGCAUAU